UACAGAGGUCUCAAGCGUUGUUCGGAUUCAUUGGGCGUAAAGGGUGCGUAGGCGGCGCCGUAAGUCGGGUGUGAAAUUUCGGAGCUUAACUCCGAAACUGCAUUCGAUACUGCGGUGCUUGAGGACUGGAGAGGAGACUGGAAUUCAUGGUGUAGCAGUGAAAUGCGUAGAGAUCAUGAGGAAGACCAGUGGCGAAGGCGGGUCUCUGGACAGUAACUGACGCUGAGGCACGAAGGCCAGGGGAGCAAACGGG
RNAcentral lists this ribosomal RNA (253 nucleotides) under uncultured bacterium. RNAcentral describes it as "partial 16S ribosomal RNA". It matches the Rfam family "Bacterial small subunit ribosomal RNA", at positions 524 to 776 of the family's 1533-position model. The record is from RNAcentral.